This 466-nucleotide ribosomal RNA is filed under the name uncultured bacterium. RNAcentral's name for it is "partial 16S ribosomal RNA". It matches the Rfam family "Bacterial small subunit ribosomal RNA", at positions 28 to 507 of the family's 1533-position model. The record is from RNAcentral.
GAUGAACGCUGGCGGCGUGCUUAACACAUGCAAGUCGAACGAUGAAGCCCAGCUUGCUGGGUGGAUUAGUGGCGAACGGGUGAGUAACACGUGAGUAACCUGCCCUUAACUCUGGGAUAAGCCUGGGAAACUGGGUCUAAUACCGGAUAGGAGCGUCCACCGCAUGGUGGGUGUUGGAAAGAUUUAUCGGUUUUGGAUGGACUCGCGGCCUAUCAGCUUGUUGGUGAGGUAAUGGCUCACCAAGGCGACGACGGGUAGCCGGCCUGAGAGGGUGACCGGCCACACUGGGACUGAGACACGGCCCAGACUCCUACGGGAGGCAGCAGUGGGGAAUAUUGCACAAUGGGCGCAAGCCUGAUGCAGCGACGCCGCGUGAGGGAUGACGGCCUUCGGGUUGUAAACCUCUUUCAGUAGGGAAGAAGCGAAAGUGACGGUACCUUCAGAAGAAGCACCGGCUAACUACGUG